UACGUAGGGGGCAAGCGUUACUCGGAUUUACUGGGCGUAAAGCGAGUUAAGGUGGUCUUAUAAGUCAGAGGUGAAAUCCCUCAGCUCAACUGAGGAACUGCCUUUGAUACUGUGAGGCUAGAGGACAGGAGAGGAAAGUGGAAUUCCCGGUGUAGCGGUGGAAUGCGUAGAUAUCGGGAGGAACACCAGAGGCGAAGGCGACUUUCUGGACUGCUCCUGACACUGAUACUCGAAAGCUAGGGGAG
This 245-nucleotide ribosomal RNA is filed under the name uncultured bacterium. Its description in RNAcentral is "partial 16S ribosomal RNA". It matches the Rfam family "Bacterial small subunit ribosomal RNA", at positions 524 to 768 of the family's 1533-position model. The record is from RNAcentral.